RNAcentral lists this ribosomal RNA (210 nucleotides) under uncultured bacterium. RNAcentral's name for it is "partial 16S ribosomal RNA". It matches the Rfam family "Bacterial small subunit ribosomal RNA", at positions 568 to 774 of the family's 1533-position model. The record is from RNAcentral.
UGCGUAGGCGGCUUUUUAAGUCGGAUGUGAAAUCCCCGAGCUUAACUUGGGGAAUUGCAUUCGAUAUUGGGAAGCUAGAGUAUGGGGAGAGGAUGGUAGAAUUCCAGGUGUAGCGGUGAAAUGCGUAGAGAUCUGGAGGAAUACCGAUGGCGAAGGCAGCCAUCUGGCCUAAUACUGACGCUGAGGUACGAAAGCAUGGGGGAGCAAACA